GAUAGAGUCCAGCAUAUCGUGAUUCAGUGCAACAGAGAGACAAUUACUAAAUCCUCUGCUUUCUGCUGCCUGCAGCAUUUUCAGCGUUUUGUGCAGAACCUGGCAUUUUCCUUCAGUGAACUUCACACCAUCUAUGAUCAUCUCGGACUCCAGUCUAUCUGGGUCCCUCUCAUACCUCCAGAGUAUCAACAGCACCUCCCAUCAGCAAACUUGCUAAGGAUGUACUCCACUCCUUCAUCCAGAUCAUCGAUAAA
Molecule: long non-coding RNA, 254 nt
Filed under: Gallus gallus (chicken)
Lineage: Eukaryota; Metazoa; Chordata; Aves; Galliformes; Phasianidae
Source: RNAcentral